Molecule: long non-coding RNA, 730 nt
Organism: Mastomys coucha (southern multimammate mouse)
Lineage: Eukaryota; Metazoa; Chordata; Mammalia; Rodentia; Muridae
Exons: 2
Source: RefSeq, a predicted model, not a curated record
UUGGGUUCAGAGAGGGUGGGCGGAGGAGGGGGAGGACGCCGACUGGGCCACGGGGGAGGGGACGGGCUGCAGCAUCUGGCUACACACCUGCUCCUGCUUAACCCUGUGCGUGCCGAGCGCUGGGUUAGCGGGGGCAGGCUAACCCGCAGCAGAGACUGGGGGGACACCUCCCUUGGGCCCUUGGCCAGGUUUGGAGAUCUCCAGAAGCAGGAUCAAAAGGGAUCCCAGUGGAGACAGAACUCCCGAUGCGCUCGGAUGUGCCCUUGGCUCCCAGUGGGACGCAGCAGUCUGGAAGGGCAAAUCGGGGUGGCUUUAGUGAGGGAGGCGACGACUACCUGCCGGCCUAUGGCCAUUCCGGGAAGCCGGCUUUCCGGAGGCCUUGCGGCGGCCAGGAUCCUCCCAGGCGACAGGGCCGGUCGCGCGGCUUCCUUCCAGGCUCGGCGCUGCAGGGUUAAAAUGUUUGGAAGGCUCCACUACACCACCACAUACACACACACCACCGCCACCAUCCUCCGCGGCGGCUGCAACUAGAGAAGAAAAGUUAGAAGGAGGUUGGUCAAACUGGUCUCGAUCCUGAGAUUACCUGGGUAACUGGAGACCAUAAUUCCAGGAAUCGAUAUCCCUUAAAGACCAGCGCCUGGACUCUACUGGGUAAACUCCCAUUUCCACUUCCUCCUCUUCCUCUAUCUGAACAAUAUGUAUCAUUAAAUCAUGAAAUUGUUGUUGAAUU